This is a long non-coding RNA of Microplitis mediator, 750 nucleotides long. RefSeq lists it as uncharacterized. Lineage: Eukaryota; Metazoa; Arthropoda; Insecta; Hymenoptera; Braconidae. The record is from RefSeq and is a predicted model, not a curated record. The transcript has 2 exons.
AAAAUUAAAUGUCUUGUAAUAAAUCGUUUGUAAUUGUCUGGAUCAUUUCAUUUCAGUGGGUUACUAAAAUUACUUUAAUCAAAUGGUUAUCAAGCCUGGAAAUAUGAAACAUGACUCCUAUGAAUAAUUUAUUUUGUAAACGGGAAUAAAUAGACCAACAAAUAAAUCUGAGUUAACUAUCAUUACAAUACUCUUAAAUUACAUAUCAGCAAAGUUUAAAAAAAUCUAGAUCCAAGUUCGUGACGUUUGGUAUUUAUCACGCUGAGGUCAAUGUCUAAUGACAUAACGAAUAAUAGAUAUCAAGUUUCAUAAACAAGAUGAAGUUUUAAAAUUAUAAAUAAUUUUUUUUUGUGACUUUGUUGUUUUAUCAUGUCCUUGUCAUUGUGUCAAUACCGAUCAUAAAAUGACAUCGAGUUAUUCUGCUUUCUGAUUCGAAACGGGGUAUAAAUAUCAGAUACAUUAUCAUUAUUGUUCUGACAGUUUGUUUGGCUAUUAGUUACUCGAAAUGGAUAAAUUAUUUUUUGUGAUUCUUAUUAUUGGGUUGCUAGUAACCCUGAGUCAUCAGAGGUGCCAACCUCACGGAGCAUGGUGUCAUCCUAUUGCUGGCUAUGGAUGUUGUGACAUUCAGUGGUGGUGUUCAAACGGAUGGUUCAAACAGGGAUUGUGUAUUUCGAACUGAAACGUCAGUGAUGAAUUUAAACAAAGAAUGCUUUGUAUUUUCAAACAUUAAAUAAAUACGCUCUAAAACAA